Molecule: ribosomal RNA, 505 nt
Filed under: uncultured bacterium
Lineage: Bacteria
Description: partial 16S ribosomal RNA
Rfam family: Bacterial small subunit ribosomal RNA
Source: RNAcentral
GACGAACGCUGGCGGCGUGCCUAAUACAUGCAAGUAGAACGCACAGUUUAUACCGUAGCUUGCUACACCAUAGACUGUGAGUUGCGAACGGGUGAGUAACGCGUAGGUAACCUGCCUGGUAGCGGGGGAUAACUAUUGGAAACGAUAGCUAAUACCGCAUAAUAUUGAUUAUUGCAUGAUAAUUGAUUGAAAGAUGCUAUUGCAUCACUACCAGAUGGACCUGCGUUGUAUUAGCUAGUAGGUGAGGUAACGGCUCACCUAGGCGACGAUACAUAGCCGACCUGAGAGGGUGAUCGGCCACACUGGGACUGAGACACGGCCCAGACUCCUACGGGAGGCAGCAGUAGGGAAUCUUCGGCAAUAGACGAAAGUCUGACCGAGCAACGCCGCGUGAGUGAAGAAGGUUUUCGGAUCGUAAAGCUCUGUUGUAAGAGAAGAACGGGUGUGAGAGUGGAAAGUUCACACUGUGACGGUAUCUUACCAGAAAGGGGCGGCUAACUACGUG